UACGUAGGGAGCAAGCGUUGUCCGGAAUCAUUGGGCGUAAAGCGCGCGUAGGCGGCCCGGUAAGUCCGUUGUGAAAGUCAAAGGCUCAACCUUUGAACGCCGAUGGAUACUGCCGGGCUAGAGUCCGGAAGAGGCGAGUGGAAUUCCUGGUGUAGCGGUGGAAUGCGCAGAUAUCAGGAGGAACACCAAUAGCGAAGGCAGCUCGCUGGGACGGUACUGACGCUGAGGCGCGAAAGCGUGGGGAGCGAACAGG
Molecule: ribosomal RNA, 253 nt
Filed under: uncultured bacterium
Lineage: Bacteria
Description: partial 16S ribosomal RNA
Rfam family: Bacterial small subunit ribosomal RNA
Source: RNAcentral